UACGAAGGGGGUUAGCGUUGCUCGGAAUCACUGGGCGUAAAGCGCACGUAGGCGGCUUCUUAAGUCAGGGGUGAAAUCCUGGAGCUCAACUCCAGAACUGCCUUUGAUACUGAGGAGCUUGAGUCCGGGAGAGGUGAGUGGAAUUGCGAGUGUAGAGGUGAAAUUCGUAGAUAUUCGCAAGAACACCAGUGGCGAAGGCGGCUCACUGGCCCGGUACUGACGUUGAGGUGCGAAAGCGUAGGGAGCAAACAGG
RNAcentral lists this ribosomal RNA (253 nucleotides) under uncultured bacterium. Its description in RNAcentral is "partial 16S ribosomal RNA". It matches the Rfam family "Bacterial small subunit ribosomal RNA", at positions 524 to 776 of the family's 1533-position model. The record is from RNAcentral.